UACGUAGGGUGCAAGCGUUGUCCGGAAUUAUUGGGCGUAAAGAGCUCGUAGGCGGUUUGUCGCGUCUGCUGUGAAAACUCGGGGCUUAACCCCGGGCCUGCAGUGGGUACGGGCAGACAAGAGUGCGGUAGGGGAGACUGGAAUUCCUGGUGUAGCGGUGAAAUGCGCAGAUAUCAGGAGGAACACCGGUGGCGAAGGCGGGUCUCUGGGCCGUAACUGACGCUGAGGAGCGAAAGCGUGGGGAGCGAACAGG
RNAcentral lists this ribosomal RNA (253 nucleotides) under uncultured bacterium. RNAcentral's name for it is "partial 16S ribosomal RNA". It matches the Rfam family "Bacterial small subunit ribosomal RNA", at positions 524 to 776 of the family's 1533-position model. The record is from RNAcentral.